Long non-coding RNA from Prosopis cineraria, 253 nucleotides. RefSeq lists it as uncharacterized. Lineage: Eukaryota; Viridiplantae; Streptophyta; Magnoliopsida; Fabales; Fabaceae. The transcript is spliced from 3 exons. The record is from RefSeq and is a predicted model, not a curated record.
CCUUUUCCUUGUGUAUAAAAAAAAAGAAAAAAAGAAAUGCCUCUCAAUCUCUUUCUGUAUCUGCCAAAUGUCAAGAAUGUGACUCUAUUAUGGGAGUUUGAGGAAUAACACGGCCCUGUGCACCGGUCAUCAGUCGGAUUGAUAUCAUGUUGCAUACAGCUAUGGUAGAAAAAGGGGAACAAAAGCUCAUGGAGUUUGAAGACGAAACUUAUAAUUGGUUGUACCUGCGGAGCAAUUGCAGCACUUCUACUAU